This 425-nucleotide ribosomal RNA is filed under the name uncultured bacterium. RNAcentral's name for it is "partial 16S ribosomal RNA". It matches the Rfam family "Bacterial small subunit ribosomal RNA", at positions 360 to 776 of the family's 1533-position model. The record is from RNAcentral.
AAUCUUCCGCAAUGGACGAAAGUCUGACGGAGCAACGCCGCGUGUAUGAUGAAGGUCUUCGGUUUGUCAAGUACUGUCUUUGGGCACGCACGGUGAGGUUGAAAAUAUUGAUUUCACAUGACGGUACCCAAGGAGGAAGCCCCGGCUAACUACGUGCCAGCAGCCGCGGUAAUACGUAGGGUGCAAGCGUUGUCCGGAAUUAUGGGGCGUAAAGGGCGCGUAGGCGGAUUUUUAAGUCUGGUGUGAAAGAUCAGGGCUCAACCCUGAGAGUGCAUCGGAAACUGGAGAUCUUGAGGACAGGAGAGGAAAGUGGAAUUCCACGUGUAGCGGUGAAAUGCGUAGAUAUGUGGAGGAACACCAGUGGCGAAGGCGACUUUCUGGACUGUAACUGACGCUGAGGCGCGAAAGCGUGGGGAGCAAACAGG